AGGGAUGUAAUUUAAUGGUAGACUGCCGGUCUCCAAAACCGGAUGUAGGAGUUCGAAUCUCUUCAUCCCUA
This 71-nucleotide transfer RNA is filed under the name endosymbiont of Euscepes postfasciatus. It matches the Rfam family "tRNA". From Rfam's summary of the family: Transfer RNA (tRNA) molecules are approximately 80 nucleotides in length. Their secondary structure includes four short double-helical elements and three loops (D, anti-codon, and T loops). Lineage: Bacteria; Pseudomonadati; Pseudomonadota; Gammaproteobacteria. The record is from Rfam by way of RNAcentral.